RNAcentral lists this ribosomal RNA (1281 nucleotides) under uncultured bacterium. Its description in RNAcentral is "partial 16S ribosomal RNA". It matches the Rfam family "Bacterial small subunit ribosomal RNA", at positions 8 to 1284 of the family's 1533-position model. The record is from RNAcentral.
AGAGUUUGAUCCUGGCUCAGGAUGAACGCUAGCGGCAGGCUUAACACAUGCAAGUCGAGGGGCAGCAUGUCCAGCAAUGGAUGAUGGCGACCGGCGGAAGGGUGCGUAACGCGUGAGCAACAUGCCCUAUACAGGGAGAUACACCAGGGAAACUUGGUCUAAUAUCCCAUAGCAUUCAUUGAAGGCAUCUUUAAUGAAUUAAAGCUUCGGCGGUAUAGGAUUGGCUCGCGUGACAUUAGCCAGAUGGUGAGGUAACGGCUCACCAUAGCAAUGAUGUCUAGGGGUUUUGAGAGGAAGGCCCCCCACACUGGGACUGAGACACGGCCCAGACUCCUACGGGAGGCAGCAGUGAGGAAUAUUGGACAAUGGAUGGAAAUCUGAUCCAGCCAUGCCGCGUGCAGGAAGACGGCCUUAUGGGUUGUAAACUGCUUUUAUACGGGAGCAAUAAGGGUUACGAGUAAUCCGAUGAGAGUACUGUAUGAACAAGCCACGGCUAACUACGUGCCAGCAGCCGCGGUAAUACGGAGGACCCGAGCGUUAUCCGGAUUUAUUGGGUUUAAAGGGUGCGUAGGCGGAAAUGUAAGUCAGUGGUGAAAUCCUGCAGCUUAACUGUAGAAUAGCCGUUGAAACUGUGUUUCUUGAGUACAUUUGAGGUAGGCGGAAUGUGGUGUGUAGCGGUGAAAUGCAUAGAUAUACCACAGAACACCGAUUGCGAAGGCAGCUUACUAAACUGUCACUGACGCUGAUGCACGAAAGCGUGGGUAUCAAACAGGAUUAGAUACCCUGGUAGUCCACGCUGUAAACGAUGAUAAAUCGCUGUCGGCGAGACACAGUCGGUGGCCAAGCGAAAGCAUAAAGUUAUCCACUUGGGGAGUACGACCGCCAAGGUUGAAAAUCAAAGGAAUGGACGGGGGCCCGCACAAGCGGUGGAGCAAGUGGUUUAAUUUGAUGCAACGCGCAGAACCUUACCAGGGUGUGACAUGGAAUCGCCGCAGCGAGAGAUCGCUGUUGAGCGGAUACACUACGGAUCACACAGGUGCUGCAUGGCUGUCGUCAGCUCGAGUCGUGAGAUGUUGGGUAUAAGUCCCGCAACGAGCGCAACUCAUAUAUCUAGUUGUCACUCGCAAGAGAGCUAUCUAGAGAGACUGCCGGGGACAACCCGGAGGAAGGUGUGGAUGAAGUCAAGUCCUCAUGGCCCUUACAUACGUGGGCUACACACGUGCUACAAUGGUCGGUACAAAGGGCAGCAAAACCGCGAGGUGGAGCGAAUCCUCAAAGCCG